Molecule: ribosomal RNA, 417 nt
Filed under: uncultured bacterium
Lineage: Bacteria
Description: bacterial SSU rRNA
Rfam family: Bacterial small subunit ribosomal RNA
Source: RNAcentral
UGGGGAAUAUUGCACAAUGGGGAAACCCUGAUGCAGCGACGCCGCGUGGAGGAAGAAGGUCUUCGGAUUGUAAACUCCUGUUGUUGGGGAAGAUAAUGACGGUACCCAACAAGGAAGUGACGGCUAACUACGUGCCAGCAGCCGCGGUAAAACGUAGGUCACAAGCGUUGUCCGGAAUUACUGGGUGUAAAGGGAGCGCAGGCGGGAAGACAAGUUGGAAGUGAAAUCUAUGGGCUCAACCCAUAAACUGCUUUCAAAACUGUUUUCUUGAGUAGUGCAGAGGUAGGCGGAAUUCCCGGUGUAGCGGUGGAAUGCGUAGAUAUCGGGAGGAACACCAGUGGCGAAGGCGGCCUACUGGGCACCAACUGACGCUGAGGCUCGAAAGUGUGGGUAGCAAACAGGAUUAGAUACCCCAGU